This 334-nucleotide unclassified non-coding RNA is filed under the name soil metagenome. RNAcentral describes it as "partial contains 5.8S ribosomal RNA, internal transcribed spacer 2, and large subunit ribosomal RNA". The stretch from base 1 to 120 matches the Rfam family "5.8S ribosomal RNA", at positions 35 to 154 of the family's 154-position model. The record is from RNAcentral.
GAUGAAGAACGUAGCGAAAUGCGAUAAGUAAUGUGAAUUGCAGAAUUCAGUGAAUCAUCGAAUCUUUGAACGCACAUUGCGCCCGCCAGUAUUCUGGCGGGCAUGCCUGUUCGAGCGUCAUUUCAACCAUCAAGCCCCCGGCUUGUGUUGGGGACCUGCGGCUGCCGCAGGCCCUGAAAUGCAGUGGCGGGCUCGCUGUCACUCCGAGCGUAGUAGUUACAUCUCGCUCUGGGCGUGCUGCGGGUUCCGGCCGUUAAAAGCCUUAUUUACCCAAGGUUGACCUCGGAUCAGGUAGGAAGACCCGCUGGACUUAAGCAUAUCAAUAAGCGGAGGA